UCCUGGUUUCCCAGGCAGUCCCGCUAGAGUGCCUUCUUUCGAAGUAGCAACUAACAGUAGGAGUUGCGCUCGUUAUAGGACUUAACCCAACAUCUCACGACACGAGCUGACGACAGCCAUGCAGCACCUGUGUAAUCGUCCAAGCCGAAGCCUGGAAAGUUGUAUUUCUACAACGGUCGAAAACAUGUCAAGCCCAGGUAAGGUUCCUCGCGUAGUGUCGAAUUAAACCACAUGUUCCACCGCUUGUGCGGACCCCCGUCAAUUCCUUUGAGUUUUAGUCUUGCGACCGUAAUCCCCAGGCGGAUCACUUAACGCGUUAGCUACGACACUGAUUUCGCAAAGCAAAACCAACGUCUAGUGAUCAUCGUUUACAGCGUGGACUAC
RNAcentral lists this unclassified non-coding RNA (384 nucleotides) under uncultured bacterium. RNAcentral's name for it is "contains 16S-23S intergenic spacer region". The record is from RNAcentral.